CCUACGGGCGGCUGCAGUGGGGAAUAUUGGACAAUGGGGGGAACCCUGAUCCAGCCAUGCCGCGUGUGUGAAGAAGGCCCUCGGGUUGUAAAGCACUUUCAGUGAGGAAGAACGCCUGGUGGUUAAUACCCAUCAGGAAAGACAUCACUCACAGAAGAAGCACCGGCUAACUCCGUGCCAGCAGCCGCGGUAAUACGGAGGGUGCGAGCGUUAAUCGGAAUUACUGGGCGUAAAGCGCGCGUAGGUGGCUUGAUAAGUCGGUUGUGAAAGCCCCGGGCUCAACCUGGGAACGGCAUCCGGAACUGUCAAGCUAGAGUGCAGGAGAGGAAGGUAGAAUUCCCGGUGUAGCGGUGAAAUGCGUAGAGAUCGGGAGGAAUACCAGUGGCGAAGGCGGCCUUCUGGACUGACACUGACACUGAGGUGCGAAAGCGUGGGUAGCAAACAGGAUUAGAUACCCUAGUAGUC
RNAcentral lists this ribosomal RNA (465 nucleotides) under Vreelandella stevensii. RNAcentral describes it as "partial 16S ribosomal RNA". It matches the Rfam family "Bacterial small subunit ribosomal RNA", at positions 338 to 795 of the family's 1533-position model. The record is from RNAcentral. Lineage: Bacteria; Pseudomonadati; Pseudomonadota; Gammaproteobacteria; Oceanospirillales; Halomonadaceae.